This 451-nucleotide ribosomal RNA is filed under the name uncultured bacterium. RNAcentral describes it as "bacterial SSU rRNA". It matches the Rfam family "Bacterial small subunit ribosomal RNA", at positions 335 to 797 of the family's 1533-position model. The record is from RNAcentral.
ACUCCUACGGGAGGCAGCAGUGGGGAAUAUUGCACAAUGGAGGAAACUCUGAUGCAGCAACGCCGCGUGGAGGAUGACACUUUUCGGAGCGUAAACUCCUUUUAUAUAGGAAGAUAAUGACGGUACUAUAUGAAUAAGCACCGGCUAACUCCGUGCCAGCAGCCGCGGUAAUACGGAGGGGUGCAAGCGUUACUCGGAAUCACUGGGGCGUAAAGAGCGUGUAGGCGGGGUUAUUAAGUCAGAAGUGAAAUCCUAUGGCUCAACCAUAGAACUGCUUUUGAAACUGGUAACCUAGAGUAUGGGAGAGGUAGAUGGAAUUUCUGGUGUAGGGGUAAAAUCCGUAGAGAUCAGAAGGAAUACCGAUUGCGAAGGCGAUCUACUGGAACAUUACUGACGCUGAGACGCGAAAGCGUGGGGAGCAAACAGGAUUAGAUACCCUGGUAGACUGUCA